UGUGUAGGCGGAACUUUAAGUCAGUGGUGAAAUCUUUCAGCUCAACUGGAAAACUGCCAUUGAUACUGCUGUUCUUGAGUUCAGUUGAGGUGGGCGGAAUGUGUAAUGUAGCGGUGAAAUGCUUAGAUAUUACACAGAACACCGAUUGCGAAGGCCGCUCACUAAACUGUUACUGACGCUGAGGCACGAAAGCGUGGGGAGCGAACAGGAUUAGAUACCCUGGUAGUCC
RNAcentral lists this ribosomal RNA (229 nucleotides) under uncultured bacterium. RNAcentral describes it as "partial 16S ribosomal RNA". It matches the Rfam family "Bacterial small subunit ribosomal RNA", at positions 568 to 796 of the family's 1533-position model. The record is from RNAcentral.